CUGGGUGGCUCUGUCUCAUUUCUAAAGAGGGAUCCAUUACUCCUGAGCAGCUCAGGAGCACCAUUGACUUUCUACAGCCCUCCCUCCAGGGCACAGGGGGAACAUCCAAAUUAAAGAAACCUUUACUGAGCACCUACUAAGUACGAGGAUCCAUUUUUGGACCAGUCAUAGUUCCUGCUUCCAAACGGAGAGACAGAGAAUUAUUAAACCCGAUUAUCUCCAAAGCAUCUGCCAGCUUGGAUAUUCUAUGAAACAAGUGAAAUCACGAAAGAUGUGAAGCAUGUUAGAGGAAUGAGCAAAGGUCACAGAACACUCUGCCGCGGAGGUAAGCUGCGACCGCCUAGCCUUCUGGGAGUGUGCGAAGCCCGUAAACCACACGGAUCCAGACUGGGAGCAAGAUGUUGUGUCUGAACACCCUCGGGACAGAGAACCAGAAUCUCUGCUGAGUUCCUGUCACCACCCCCGCCCCCUGCUUUUACCUGUGUUACCCAAACUCUCCGGGAUGGCAACACCUACCUCACAUAUUACUGUGAUGAUUAAAUGUGAAAACACAUAUGAAAGGUCUUUGUAAACUCUGAAGUGCUUUAUACAUGGAAAAUAGAAUUAAUAUUCAUGAAGGAGGAAGAAAUAGAAGGGCACCUUAAAGGAUAGAUAGGCACUACCUAAGUGAACAGCUGGGUGUCAGACACUAAAGUACAUACUUCAUAAAAAUCAAUUGUUUAGCCCUCCUGACAUGAGAUAGGGGUUAUUAUUUUUCCCAUUCUACAGAUAAAAAAACUGGGUCCCUGGGAGUUUAAGUAACUCACCUGGGAUUAUCCUGACAGUAAGUGGCAAAGCUAGGGCUCACACCAGAGGAGGCGGGCUGCACUUAACCAAUGUGUCCUUCUGCCACACUGCAUGGAAAAACGUUUUCUAAUCCAAGUUAAUUCCAGCCAGUAAACUUGACCUGAGAGCCAGGCUGGGCCCUGGGCACAUGCUGAUGAAGACACAGGAGUGUAAGCCAAUAAGGAGAGACUCUAAGGAAGAAGGAAAUAGAUACCACAAAUAUGACUGGCAUUGGAAUAAUGUAAACAAAAUGUGGAGAUGGAAAAGAGGAGGAGUGUUCCAGAGGCUCUGCAUUUAACAGACUAAGGAACUAGGUAGUGGAUGAAGAGAAGUUCAAGAGUCACAUGAAAGCAGGUUGGCUGACGGACUCACUCGGGGAAACAACACUACCCUGAGGCUGCAUCUAAAGGGUAUCAAAGUGCUUUCACACCAGCAAGCCCCAAGAAGCAAUGAAGUGUUCUCCCUGACUGUCCCGGCAAUCUGUGAAUUUGUUAUUCCGCCUGCCACUCAAGUACCAGAGAGGUCAAGAAGAGGUAUUUUAAAUAAGUCACUUAAGAAGAAAUGCAUAUUAGAGUUUAUACUUUCUCCUUGUCCCUUUAUACCUCAAAUACAGCUGUAGGGGACGGGGCAGGCAAACUGAGGCAGAAACCCAGGAUGAUGCAAGGGGGCUCACAUCUUCUAGAAGCAACCAUUUCAAGCUUGACCCUUUAGACCUUGAAUCAGCAGUUUCCAGACUUUCUGCAGACCUACAUCAGCCAGAGAUAUAAUCACUAAGAUGGCCUUUUGCUUCCAUCUGAUCAGCACAUUAAAAAAAAGAAAAAUAAACACAACAACUUGUUUGAGGACAAGGAGAACAACACUGGCUCAAAUGAGAAAUCAUUGAGAAACAAGGAUGCCGGGGGGCACAGGGGUGAAAAAUUUGGCUUAGGGUCAGAAGAUCCAAGUUUACAAAGUUUGUGACCUCUGACAGGCCACUGAAGCUCUCCAAACCUCACUUUUCUCAUUUGUAAAGUGUGAACACUAAUUACAAAAUAAGAACACAUGUUUGAAAGCACUCACCUUAUAAAUGGCGAGGGCUAGGCAAAGGUUCAUAGCUGUGACUAUAUCUAAGCUUUUAAAUAGUAAUGAUUAAUUUGUGUUAGAAGUGAAAUUUCAGACUUCAUGAUAGGAUCAGCAUUAAUCUUCCAAAUUUUCCCAUCUGCAAAGCAUUUAAUGGAACAUGCAAGUCCACAUGAUUGAUUUAUUCCCAUGCCACUUCCAAAAAGUAUUUAAAGUAACUUAUGAGAUAUAGAGAUGAUGGUUUCAUCAAAACAUGGGACAAAAGGUAAAGAUGUGGUCAUGAAAGGAGAGGACAGUGAGGGGGAAGAAAACUCAGAAGCAGAAUAAAUUUAAUGAGGCAUAUAGCAUGACUUUGAGCUUCCCAGCAGCUGAGACAAAAAGGGAAAUGCAUUGUGUCACACAGUCCUAGUAAAGGGAGUAAUAAAGGGAGAAUAGGUAUGGUUGGAGGGUGGUCAUGGAGGCCAGGAUCGCAAACUUCCUGGCCCUGACCUCUACGUGCAUCAUAGGCAUCAUUAUUUAAGGGAUAUCAAAAAAUAAAUUGUGCAGGAUCUCCAAAUGGCAAUGCAGCAGAGAUACUGUUCCAGUCUAACCACUAGGCGAUAUUUUCCUCUGAAUCAGUGCUUGCCUCCCAGAACAAACAAACAGCAAGAUGAUUAAUAGAAGGAGCUGGUUGCCUUUAAAAAAAAUAGGGCAGUGAAAAUCAGAAUAUUUGCUCCUGGCUGGGGUGUGCCACUGGCCCAGGUACCCACAGAGGCAGUCACCAUUCAUUAGGGGAGUCAAGUAGGCAAGGCAAUCUGCAAGGUGCCUUGCACAAGGUCACUCGGUGUCUCUGAGACUGACUCUGCAUUCUGAGUUCCUUAAUAUGAUUUUUUAGGUCACAGUGUUCUAGGCAAAGCUCCCUGUUGAUGUACAUCUCUCAUGCAAGAUUUAGAUCACCUCUUUUCGGGCAGAGCUCCAUGGAAACACCGCCCAUGAUUUCUGAAAUGGAGUCUGAUUGGGUCCCGGUAAUGCCCAGCUGGAGUGGAGAGUGCUCUCUGCAGUUGACACAUUGCUGGACAGUUGGCAAGCCUGAGACUACCAGAAUCUAGUCCUUGGAGGCUAUUAUUAUUUUAAUUCCAUAGUAAAUUCCUGUUUACCUAAG
Molecule: long non-coding RNA, 3025 nt
Organism: Lutra lutra (Eurasian river otter)
Lineage: Eukaryota; Metazoa; Chordata; Mammalia; Carnivora; Mustelidae
Exons: 5
Source: RefSeq, a predicted model, not a curated record